RNAcentral lists this ribosomal RNA (460 nucleotides) under uncultured bacterium. RNAcentral's name for it is "partial 16S ribosomal RNA". It matches the Rfam family "Bacterial small subunit ribosomal RNA", at positions 338 to 795 of the family's 1533-position model. The record is from RNAcentral.
CCUACGGGUGGCUGCAGUGAGGAAUAUUGGUCAAUGGCCGGAAGGCUGAUCCAGCCACGCCGCGUGAAGGUCAGUGCCCUACGGGCGUUAAACUUCUUUCGUCAGGGAGCAAUAAUGGUCACGUGUGGCCAGACGACCGUACCGUACGAAUAAGCAUCGGCUAAAUCCGUGCUAGCAGCCGCGGGAAUACGGGGGGGGCAAGCGUUAUCCGGAUUUAUUGGGGUUAAAGGGUGCGUAGGCUGUGAGGUAAGUCAGCGGGGGAAUGCCCCCGCUCAAAGGGGUGGAGUGCCAUUGAUACUGCCUGGCUGGAGUGCGGGUGCCGUAGGAGGAAUGUGUGGUGUAGCGGUGAAAUGCGUAGAUAUCAGGAGGAACACCGGUUGCGAAGGCGGCAUACUGGCGCGCGACUGACGCUGAGGCUCGAAAGCGUGGGGAGCGAACAGGAUUAGAUACCCGAGUAGUC